GUGGGGAAUAUUCCGCAAUGGACGAAAGUCUGACGGAGCAACGCCGCGUGAGUGAUGAAGGUUUUCGGACUGUAAAGCUCUGUUGUUUAGGACGAAAGUGCCUGUUGCGAACAGUUACAGGUAUUGACGGUACUAAACGAGGAAGCCACGGCUAACUACGUGCCAGCAGCCGCGGUAAUACGUAGGUGGCAAGCGUUGUCCGGAAUUAUUGGGCGUAAAGAGCAUGUAGGCGGGAAGCUAAGUCUGUUGUGAAAAUGCGGGGCUCAACCCCGUAUUGCGAUGGAAACUGGGUUUCUUGAGUGCAGGAGAGGAAAGGGGAAUUCCCAGUGUAGCGAUGAAAUGCGUAGAUAUUGGGAGGAACACCAGUGGCGAAGGCGCCUUUCUGGACUGUGUCUGACGCUGAGAUGCGAAAGCCAGGGUAGCGAACGGGAUUAGAAACCCUGGUAGUCC
RNAcentral lists this ribosomal RNA (450 nucleotides) under uncultured bacterium. Its description in RNAcentral is "partial 16S ribosomal RNA". It matches the Rfam family "Bacterial small subunit ribosomal RNA", at positions 354 to 796 of the family's 1533-position model. The record is from RNAcentral.